RNAcentral lists this ribosomal RNA (1358 nucleotides) under uncultured bacterium. Its description in RNAcentral is "bacterial SSU rRNA". It matches the Rfam family "Bacterial small subunit ribosomal RNA", at positions 28 to 1381 of the family's 1533-position model. The record is from RNAcentral.
AUUGAACGCUGGCGGUAGGCUUAACACAUGCAAGUCGUGCGAGAAAGUAUCUUCGGAUAUGAGUAGAGCGGCGGACGGGUGAGUAACGCGUAGGAAUCUACCUAGUAGAAGGGGAUAGCCCGGGGAAACUCGGAUUAAUACCGUAUACCUCCUUCGGGAGAAAGAAGGCCUCUCUUUGAAGCUUUCGCUAUUAGAUGAGCCUGCGUAAGAUUAGCUUGUUGGUGAGGUAAAGGCUCACCAAGGCGACGAUCUUUAGCGGGUCUGAGAGGACGAUCCGCCACAUUGGGACUGAGACACGGCCCAGACUCUUACGGGAGGCAGCAGUGGGGAAUAUUGGACAAUGGGCGCAAGCCUGAUCCAGCCAUACCGCGUGUGUGAAGAAGGCCCUAGGGUUGUAAAGCACUUUAAGUUGGGAAGAAAAGUUAUUGGUUAAUACCCAAUAACCGUGACAUUACCAUCAGAAUAAGGACCGGCUAAUUCCGUGCCAGCAGCCGCGGUAAUACGGAAGGUCCAAGCGUUAAUCGGAAUUACUGGGCGUAAAGCGCGCGUAGGUGGUUUAUUAAGUUGGAUGUGAAAUCCCCGGGCUCAACCUGGGAACUGCAUCCAAAACUGAUUCACUAGAGUACGAUAGAGGGAGGUAGAAUUCACAGUGUAGCGGUGGAAUGCGUAGAUAUUGUGAAGAAUACCAAUGGCGAAGGCAGCCUCCUGGAUCUGUACUGACACUGAGGUGCGAAAGCGUGGGUAGCGAACAGGAUUAGAUACCCUGGUAGUCCACGCCGUAAACGAUGUCAACUAGCUGUUGGAAAACUAUGUUUUUCAGUGGCGCAGCUAACGUAGUAAGUUGACCGCCUGGGGAGUACGGCCGCAAGGCUAAAACUCAAAUGAAUUGACGGGGACCCGCACAAGCGGUGGAGCAUGUGGUUUAAUUCGAUGCAACGCGAAAAACCUUACCUAUACUUGACAUACUUGGAAUGCUUUGUAAUGAAGCAGUGCCUUCGGGAGCCAAGAUACAGGUGCUGCAUGGCUGUCGUCAGCUCGUGUCGUGAGAUGUUCCGUUAAGUCGGAUAACGAGCGCAACCCUUACCCUUAUUUGCCAGCGAUUCGGUCGGGAACUAUAAGGGGACUGCCGGUGAUAAACCGGAGGAAGGUGAGGACGACGUCAAGUCAUCAUGGCCCCUACGUAUAGGGCUACACACGUGCUACAAUGGAGAAUACAGACGGACGCUAAGCCGCGAGGUGGUGCUAAUCCUAGAAAAUUCUUCGUAGUCCGGAUUGGAGUCUGCAACUCGACUCCAUGAAGUCGGAAUCGCUAGUAAUCGCGAAAUCAGCAUGUCGCGGUGAAAUACGUUCUCGGGUCU